AGCAGCCCCAUUUGGGUCCCUUCCCUUUGUAUGGGAGCUGUUUUCAUGCUAUUUCACUCUAUUAAAUCUUGCAACUGCACUCUUCUGGUCCAUGUUUGUUACGGCUCGAGCUGAGCUUUUGCUCACCGUCCACCACUGCUGUUUGCCACCACCGCAGACCUGCCGCCGACUCCCAUCCCUCUGGAUCCUGCAGGGUGUCCGCUGUGCUCCUGAUCCAGCGAGGCGCCCAUUGCCGCUCCCAAUUGGGCUAAAGGCUUGCCAUUGUUCCUGCACGGCUAAGUGCCCGGGUUUGUCCUAAUUGAGCUGAACACUAGUCACUGGGUUCCAUGGUUCUCUUCUGUGACCCACGGCUUCUAAUAGAACUAUAACACUCACCACAUGGCCCAAGAUUCCAUUCCUUGGAAUCCGUGAGGCCAAGAACUCCAGGUCAGAGAACACGAGGCUUGCCACCAUCUUGGAAGCGGCCUGCUACCAUCUUGGAAGUGGUUCACCACCAUCUUGGGAGCUCUGUGAGCAAGGACCCCCCGGUAACAUUUUGGCAACCACGAACGGACAUCCAAAGUGAAUCGAAGCUGUAAAACUACAAAUGGAGCCCAAGAUGCAGUCCAAGACUAAGAUCUACCGCAGACCCCUGGACCGGCCUGCUAGCCCACGAUCUGAUGUUAAUGACAUCAAAGGCACCCCUCCCGAGGAAAUCUUAACUGCACAACCUCUACUACGCCCCAAUUCAGCAGGAAGCAGUUAGAGCGGUCGUCGGCCAACCUCCCCAACAGCACUUAGGUUUUCCUGUUGAGAUGGGGGACUGAGAGACAGGACUAGCUGGAUUUCCUAGGCUGACUAAGAAUCCCUAAGCCUAGCUGGGAAGGUGACCACAUCCACCUUUAAACACGGGGCUUGCAACUUAGCUCACACCUGACCAAUCAGAGAGCUCACUAAAAUGCUAAUUAGGCAAAAACAGGAGGUAAAGAAAUAGCCAAUCAUCUAUUGCCUGAGAGCACAGCAGGAGGGACAAUGAUCGGGAUAUAAACCCAGGUCUUCGAGCUGGCAACGGCAACCCCCUUUGGGUCCCCUCCCUUUGUAUGGGAGCUCUGUUUUCAUGCUAUUUCACUCUAUUAAAUCUUGCAACUGCA
Molecule: small RNA, 1130 nt
Filed under: Pan troglodytes (chimpanzee)
Lineage: Eukaryota; Metazoa; Chordata; Mammalia; Primates; Hominidae
Description: processed transcript
Source: RNAcentral